RNAcentral lists this long non-coding RNA (443 nucleotides) under Sorghum bicolor (sorghum). RNAcentral's name for it is "long non-coding RNA (SBIC_LNC001178)". The record is from RNAcentral. Lineage: Eukaryota; Viridiplantae; Streptophyta; Magnoliopsida; Poales; Poaceae.
CAAAAUGGCAAUGGGUACCCGAAACCCGAGUACCCGACGGGUUUUACCCGAUAAGAACGCGGGUAUGGAAUGAAUUUUGUACCCGCGGGUACGUUGUUGGGUGAAAUCCUUUACCCAUCGGGUAUGGCGGGUACGGGUGUGGAAUAGUAGUACCCAUACCCGCGUAUCCGUGGGUAAGAAAUACCCGCAAAAUGAGUAAGCAACCUACGCAAUUUAGCCCAUAUAGCCCAUGAACUGAUUGGCUGAACGUGGGAAGUAUUGAGCGUCUGGUGUGCUACUAGUGCUACUAUUAAUUUGCUGGAAGUUGUUAUGUUUAAUUUCCUAUAAGUUGCGAUAUUUAACUUGCUGAAAGUUGUUAUAUUUCUAUUGAACUCGGGUAUAUUUUCGGGUAUGGAAUACCCGUCGGGUAAGAAUUACCCGUCGGGUGCGGGUACGGAAUGAAU